This is a long non-coding RNA of Pseudophryne corroboree (corroboree frog), 342 nucleotides long. RefSeq lists it as uncharacterized. The record is from RefSeq and is a predicted model, not a curated record. Lineage: Eukaryota; Metazoa; Chordata; Amphibia; Anura; Myobatrachidae. The transcript is spliced from 3 exons.
AGUUACCCUUCGGCACAGGGAGCCUCCAGCUCAACCUCUCCGUCCCUCGCAUGCCACUCUAUGCACCCGAAUAUGCAGGCAUUGGAAUAUAACAGCUACAUAAUGGAGUGGAUGGCUGAUUGUUUCCUGAGUCAACUGAAAACCAGCCGCUCGGAAAAAAAAAAAAAAUUUGACCUUCCCAAAAUGGCCGCUGCUCCUCCCCCUUCCACCUCCAUGAGGGUCACACAAAAUGGUGGACAGACCAUGCGGCCUCUUGUCACAAAGAAAGUCAUCAUUCAAAACUCCUAAAGUUAUUCUAGGCCUGAGUGUGUAGUUGGCACCAAAUUGAAAUAAAAACCAGAU